CUUSUUCUCUAGGUACCGUCAKYYUGUUCCGUUAAGAACAGGUUUUCUUCCCUAUCGAAAGAGGUUUACAAUCCGAAGACCUUCAUCCCUCACGCGGCGUCACAUAGUCAGACUUUCGUCCAUUGCUAAAUAUCCUCGACUGCAGCCUCCCGUAGGAGUUGGGGCAGUGUCUCAGUCCCCAUGUGGCUGACCACCCUCUCAGGCCAGCUACCCGUCAAAAGCCUUGGUAGGCCAUUACCCUGCCAACUAGCUGAUAGGACGCGAGCUCAUCUCUAAACAAAAACUCUUGCGAGCCUUCUUUACUUACAGCUGCUUAUGCAACCGUAAACACAUCGGGCAUUACCCUUACUUUCGCAAGGCUAUUCCCGACUUAGAGGUAAAUUACUCACGUGUUACUCACCAAUCUGCCGCUAUAUCUUUUUUCUCUUAACAGAUCAGCCUUGCGGCUUCACCAUCUCAAGAAAAAAGUAUCGCUCGACUUGCAUGCCUAAUCUACGCCGCCAGCGUUCACUCUGAGCCAGGAUCAAACUCUAAUCGAAUUCCCGCGGCCGCCAUGGCGGCCGGGAGCAUGCGACGUCGGGCCCAAUUCRSCCUAUAGUGAGUCGUAUUACAAUUCACUGGSCCGUCGUUUUAC
Molecule: ribosomal RNA, 634 nt
Filed under: uncultured bacterium
Lineage: Bacteria
Description: partial 16S ribosomal RNA
Source: RNAcentral